GCCACACCAGUAAAAAUCUUGUUCUGAUCUAUUUGACUAGCCAAUAAAUUGAGAAAGUUUGUUGUUUAUGCAGAUGAUUGACGACCAGGACUUGGGCUUCUUUGCCAAUUUUCUUGGCAUCUUUAUAUUUGUGCUGGUGAUUGCUUAUCAUUAUGUGAUGGCUGACCCAAAAUACGAGGGCAACUGAUGUGCUCCUUUUGGUUUCCAUCUGUACUACGAAGUUGAUAUUUUCCUUUUUGUUCUAGUUAUGACUUUCGAGGAUGGGAUAUAUAUUUGAUGUAGCAAGACUUUUCCUGUUACGGUGAAUUUAGUCUUUCUGAUUAUUCAUAAAUACUAUUGGAAGAUAGAACUUUGUUUCGGAAUUUAACUUGUUAUUUAUUUAUAUCAGUUUUUUACAAAUUUAUUCGGAUUUCAAGAGUAGAUGAGCUACAUUUGUGUAUGUUAAAAAUUAAAUCUUG
RNAcentral lists this long non-coding RNA (458 nucleotides) under Olea europaea subsp. europaea. The record is from RNAcentral. Lineage: Eukaryota; Viridiplantae; Streptophyta; Magnoliopsida; Lamiales; Oleaceae.